RNAcentral lists this long non-coding RNA (305 nucleotides) under Mytilus galloprovincialis (Mediterranean mussel). The record is from RNAcentral. Lineage: Eukaryota; Metazoa; Mollusca; Bivalvia; Mytilida; Mytilidae.
CCUGAAUUACACCUUAUAUAAGUAUCCUGUUUUCUUUAAGGUUUAUGGCUAUUGAAUUGAAACAGAUAUAUUAUGUUUUAAAGGAGGUAUUUGCAAAAAACCUGUCCAGAGAAGUAUUUUCCUUCUCCUAGAAACUCAAGUAGUUCAUAUUUGUAAAGAGAGGUUCAAAAUUAUUUACCUCCUCUCAACCGGUACUUUUCACAAAUACCUCUCCUAAACAAAAUAUACUACAUGUGAUGACAAUUUACAUAACAAAGGCUGAAAAUGUCUUUUGCUCAUAAAUGAUCAUGAAUACUUGAAGGUCG